Long non-coding RNA from Poecile atricapillus (Black-capped chickadee), 368 nucleotides. RefSeq lists it as uncharacterized. The record is from RefSeq and is a predicted model, not a curated record. The transcript has 3 exons. Lineage: Eukaryota; Metazoa; Chordata; Aves; Passeriformes; Paridae.
GGUGACAUCAAGGUUGGGUCGGUGACACCUGUCCCGGGGGUGGCCGCUGACCUUUGACCUUGUGUGACGCGGCCGCCCGGACCUCGGCCUCGCAGUCCUUCAUCAGGCUCUGGAACGCCCCCACCAGGUCGGUCUUGGUGAUCUCGGGGCCCACGGCGCGCUGGAGCUGCGGGGACAGGUGUGGACAGGUGAGCUCAGGUGUGUACAGGUGUGUACAGGUGUGUACAGGUGUGCACAGGUGUGUACAGGUGUCUACAGAUGUGUCUGUGUGUGUACAGGUGUGUACAGGUGUGUCUGUGUGUGUACAGGUGUGCACCACCAGGUCGGUCUUGGUGAUCUCGGGGCCCACGGCGCGCUGGAGCUGCGGG